AUCAUACUUCCUCGGUCCAACAAAGGCUGUCUCAACUUUGACUAAAUUUGAAUGUAUCUAUAUACUAAGUCACAUCUAAAUACAUCCAAAUUUUGACAAACUUGAGACAUCCUUUGUUGGACGGAGGGAGUACUUU
Molecule: non-coding RNA, 136 nt
Organism: Brachypodium distachyon (stiff brome)
Lineage: Eukaryota; Viridiplantae; Streptophyta; Magnoliopsida; Poales; Poaceae
Source: Rfam